CGGAUGUACGCGGUUGAUUAAGACAUAUAUGACAUUCAUGCGGAUUCGCUUCGUGAGAAUGUUGCCUGUAUUUUUGGUUCGUGCGCAGAGCUUAUGACUGCUUAGAGCACGUAUGCCCAGAAACAACCAGAGUCGCAAAAUGACUUGUACUUAUCUCCUCCGUCUUUUUUGUAAGAUAUCGCAGAUGGGUGGCUGGUUUUAAUGAUACAGUGAGUCGGAUUUCGGAUGAAUUUCGUUUUUUCAUGGGCG
Long non-coding RNA from Cylas formicarius (sweet potato weevil), 249 nucleotides. RefSeq lists it as uncharacterized. The record is from RefSeq and is a predicted model, not a curated record. The transcript has 3 exons. Lineage: Eukaryota; Metazoa; Arthropoda; Insecta; Coleoptera; Brentidae.